GAGAGAGAGUGCAUAACCACUUGUGGGGGCCUGCCGUACCGUGACUGGCGUGUUCCGGCGCGGCACCUAGGGCGUCCACGGUUCAGGGCGGGCCAGCCAGGGAACCUCAUCCGUGUAGUCAAAUCCACGCUGCCUGGUCGUCAAUCCAGGCAGUACAAGGAGCCGGAUCGAGCAUUAAACGCUCUGUACCCAUCCCACGCAGUUGGGUGAAGGUGCAGAGCGGAUUUCUGUAGCUAAAGGAGGCACCCCUGGAAAGCGGCGGAGGAUGCAAGCAGGGCUGGAAUAAACCCCUGCCCCUGCGUCGAUUCCCCUGUGGCUGUGGGUGUAAAGACCCACAGCGACUCGCACCGCGGCAGGACACCACUCUUAGGUUUAGCAUGCUCUCGCCACUGUCCCAAUCAAAACCCUCUGUGUACCCUUCCCAGUUGCUUCCCCCGGGGAACUGGCUCCGGCCAGCCGGGGGGAGAAACCAAGCAAAAACCCUUUUUUCGCAAAACAGACGUCCGAAUUUAAAAACAAAACAAAAAGUUAA
This 532-nucleotide ribosomal RNA is filed under the name Morchella sp. Mes-21. RNAcentral describes it as "5.8S ribosomal RNA". The record is from RNAcentral. Lineage: Eukaryota; Fungi; Ascomycota; Pezizomycetes; Pezizales; Morchellaceae.